GGCUGCCAGCGCCCACUGGCUGUGCUGUCAUACAGCCACUCGAGUCUGUGCAGGGCCUCCUGGGGGCUGGCAGGCUGUGGCCUGACCCCUUCAGGCCCCAGGGAGCCCUAGAAUGUUAGAGAACAAAUUCUUGGGGCUUCCCACCCUGCAGGCUGAGCUCCUGUCUUCAGAGCUGCCCGGAGGAGGGCCCUGCCUGAUUCCUGCGGGUCUCCCAGUGAGACCCCGCCCAGCCUGGCAUUGAGGAGGUGCCCCAGAUGAAUUUAUUGAUGGGUAAACAAGAGCAGGGCAGGAACUGUGCUCAGGCUCCCAACCACGACGUUGACUCGACAGCCGACCAGAGUCAGGAGUUGAAGGCACCAAUGCCAUUGUCCUUAAGGAGAAGAAAUGACCCUGGUGGAUACAACGAGAAGACAGCUGUCUGUGAACCAGGAAGAGGGCCUUCACCAAGAACCUGCCCAUGCUGCUACCCUGAUCUUGGACGUCCAGGCUCCAGAUCUGCGAGGAAUAAAUGUCUGCUGUUUAAGCCCCCCAGCCUGUGGUGUACUGGUAUCACGGGUGGCGCUGACUAUGACACAGGGACUGGGGGUCCAUUUGGUGGGAAUGUCAUUGCAUCAGUUGGGAAAUGGGAGGGAGGGUCGAGAGCCCCUUAGGCAGUGAGCCAUGGGUUAGAUUCUCUCCCUUCUGGCUGUGGCCUUUAGGCAAGUCCCUUCCCUCUCUGAGCCUCCGUGUCUGUGAAAUGAGGCGAUGAACACAUUUAUCUCACAGGGUCUCUGUGAGGAGAACCGGGAGAUGCACUCAGCACAGUUGAGGCUUCUCCCCUCUCCAGGGUGUACACCACAUGGGGUCACACCAGAUAAAUAUCCCUUCUUGCGUGCAGCACAAUUAGCGCCUGCCUGCCAUGUGCCAGCACAGCACUGAGAGUGUUACCUGUAUCCCUUCAUUUACUCUUCAAAGUGGUAACGACUAGCCUCAAUCCACAGAUGAGGGCUCUGAGCACAGGGAGGUUAAAUCUGCUUUCCUCAAGGCCACCCAGCAGGCCAGCAGGGGGCUGGGCUCGAACCCAGGUCCUUUUCAUCGAAAGCCCCAGAUCUUAUCCAGGAUUUGCCCCGCCUCUCCUGGGGAGAGGCUCCAAUCCCUCCCCGCUAUAAGAUCCCCCGAUUGCAGACACAGGGUCUCAAACCCACAGAAGGGUCUCAAAGCCCCAAGAAGCUGUGGGUCCCAUUGGAGACAAGACACCUACAUGGAAAAGGUAAGUGAACUGAGAAGGCAAAGCCUGUGACGAGGGCCAGGAAGACUCAGGGAGGGCCCCUCUGCCUGGAUUUCAGGCCAUAUCCAGUGUCUCCAGAAAAAAAGAACAAGAAGCCACCACCCUAAUCCUGAGGCCCCCAGGGAAGGAGCAAGUUCCUGGGUAAAACAGGUUCCCACAGGCUUUACCCUCCCCUGUCACUCCUCCAGGUGGCUCAGGCUCCAGUGUGGCGGGGGAGAGGAGGGAGAGGGGUCUCCUCUUAUCUUGGGGUGAGGGAGGGCCCCCCACACACACACAUACACAAGAGGAAAGGGCAGGGCAGCUCAGGCUCAGAGCUGAUGGGUUACAGGACUCACCUGGUCCCGCCCCCUCGUUCCGCAGCCCAGAGGGGGCAGUGUCUCCAGCAGGGUCCACAGAAAGAGGGUGGCCGAGUGCAGCCAGGACACAGGUCCCCCAGGUUGGGGUUCUGGCAAGCACACAACCCAGCUUCUCCCAGACAGGACAUUUCUCCAAGCCCCUUCCCCUUUCCGCCAAGAUGGAACAAUGAAAAGAAAGAGAACUGGAUUAGGAGCCAGGGGCCUGAGUCUCCAGACUCACUCUGAGACUAACUCCCACGUAAUCUUGGGUGAGUUCCCUCCCCUCUCUGGGCCUCCAUUUCCACAUCGAUCGGACCAGGGAGUUGGGCUCCAUUUCCAAGGUUCCCCUCUAGUUCCAAUGUUCUGAGAGCCAAGGACGAUGAGUUGCAGUCACCUCCAGCCCAGCUUUCCUCCAUCUCUCCAGAGGCCUCAGAGAUCCCAGAUGGAAGAGGAAUUUUUUUUUAAUUGAAGUAUAGUUGAUGUACAAUAUUAUAUGUUAUAGGUAUACAGUAUAGUGAUUCACAAUUUUUAAAGGUUAUACUCCAUUUAUAAUUAUUAUAAAAUAUUGGCUAUAUUCCCUGUGUUGUACAAUAUAUCCUUUGUAGCUUAUUUUAUACCUAACAGUUUGUAUCUCUUAAUCCCCCACCCCAUCUCGCCCCUCCCCGCUUCCCUCUCCCCGCUGGUAACCACUAGUUUGUUCUCUAUAUCUGUGAGUCUGCUUCUUUUUUGUUAUAUUCACUAGUUUGUUGUAUUUUUUUAGAUUUCACAUAUGAGUGAUAUCAUACAGUAUUGGUCUUUCCCUGUCUGACUUAUUUCACUUAGCAUAAUGCCCUCCAAGUCCAUCUAUGUUGCUGCAAAUGGAAAGAUUUCACUUCUUUUUACAGCUGAGUAGUAGUCCAUUGCAUAUAUAUACCACAACUGCUUUAUCCAUUCAUCUGUUGAUGGACACUUAGGUUGCUUCCAUUUCUUGGCAAUUGUAAAUAAAGCUGCUA
Molecule: long non-coding RNA, 2594 nt
Organism: Balaenoptera ricei (Rice's whale)
Lineage: Eukaryota; Metazoa; Chordata; Mammalia; Artiodactyla; Balaenopteridae
Exons: 3
Source: RefSeq, a predicted model, not a curated record